RNAcentral lists this ribosomal RNA (512 nucleotides) under uncultured bacterium. RNAcentral's name for it is "bacterial SSU rRNA". It matches the Rfam family "Bacterial small subunit ribosomal RNA", at positions 8 to 518 of the family's 1533-position model. The record is from RNAcentral.
AGAGUUUGAUCCUGGCUUAGGAUGAACGCUGGCGGCGUGCUUAAUACAUGCAAGUCGAACGAAGCACUUUGGCAGAUCCCUCGGGGUAAAGCCGGUUGUGACUUAGUGGCGGACGGGUGAGUAACGCGUGGGUAACCUGCCUUAUACUGGGGGAUAACAGUUAGAAAUGGCUGCUAAUACCCCAUAAGCGCACGGCACCGCAUGAUGCAGUGUGAAAAGAUUUAUUGGUAUAAGAUGGACCCGCGUCUGAUUAGUUAGUUGGUGAGGUAACGGCCCACCAAGACGACGAUCAGUAGCCGACUUGAGAGAGUGAUCGGCCACAUUGGGACUGAGACACGGCCCAGACUCCUACGGGAGGCAGCAGUAGGGAAUAUUGCACAAUGGGGGAAACCCUGAUGCAGCCGACGCCGCGUGAGUGAUGAAGUUAUUUCGGUAUGUAAAGCUCUAUCAGCAGGGAAGAUAAUGACGGUACCUGACUAAGAAGCCCCGGCUAACUACGUGCCAGCCGCAGC